RNAcentral lists this ribosomal RNA (439 nucleotides) under uncultured bacterium. Its description in RNAcentral is "partial 16S ribosomal RNA". It matches the Rfam family "Bacterial small subunit ribosomal RNA", at positions 339 to 795 of the family's 1533-position model. The record is from RNAcentral.
CUACGGGAUGCUGCAGUGGGGAAUAUUGGACAGUGGGCGCAAGCCUGAUCCAGCAAUGCCGCGUGAGUGAAGACGGCCUUAGGGUUGUAAAACUCUUUCGCUAGGGAAGAUAAUGACUGUACCUAGUAAAGAAGUCCCGGCUAACUCCGUGCAAGCAGCCGCGGUAAUACGGAGGGGACUAGCGUUGUUCGGAAUUACUGGGCGUAAAGAGUUCGUAGGCGGACUGACAAGUUAGAGGUGAAAUCCCAGGGCUCAACCCUGGAACUGCCUUUAAAACUGUCAGUCUAGAGACCGGAAGAGGUUAGGGGAAUACCUAGUGUAGAGGUGACAUUCGUAGAUAUUAGGUGGAACACCAGUGGCGAAGGCGCCUAACUGGUCCGGUACUGACGCUGAGGAACGAAAGCGUGGGGAGCAAACAGGAUUAGAUACCCCUGUAGUC